Molecule: ribosomal RNA, 195 nt
Filed under: Bacilli bacterium PM5-9
Lineage: Bacteria; Bacillati; Bacillota; Bacilli
Description: partial 23S ribosomal RNA
Rfam family: Bacterial large subunit ribosomal RNA
Source: RNAcentral
GUCACGCCAGUGGCAUGGCUGGAAAGCUAAGUAGGGAAAGGAUAACCGCUGAAGGCAUCUAAGCGGGAAGCCUACUUCAAGAUGAGAUCUCCCAACAAGUAAGACCCCUUGAAGACUACAAGGUAGAUAGGACACAAGUGUAAGUGCAGUGAUGUAUUAAGCUGAGUGUUACUAAUAGGUCGAGGACUUAACCUU